This 507-nucleotide ribosomal RNA is filed under the name Triticum aestivum (bread wheat). RNAcentral describes it as "partial small subunit ribosomal RNA". The record is from RNAcentral. Lineage: Eukaryota; Viridiplantae; Streptophyta; Magnoliopsida; Poales; Poaceae.
AUGCAAAAUCGAAGGACUGGACACCAUUGUGUUUGUAAAUGGAGGUGGCUUGUGCCAAGGAAGUUGUCUGAGGAAAAUGUGCCACGACCACAAGCUUUAUUUCCGAUUUAUGAAAAAUCAAGCACAGCGCACAAAGGGCUCAACAUAUAUCGAGGGUCAGGGUACAACAUCAUGCUAGCACAUUCACGAGGACGACUCUGCGACUGCGAAGCUGAACCCAGAGCCUUGCAGUGCCUCCUCGACGAUGUUGUCCAGCCGCUCCGCCAUAGCCGGCGUGAUGUGGCUGCCACUCUUGUUCAUGGCCAUGUUCUUCAAGCUCUCGAGGCUGCACAGCUUCACGAUGGCCUGCACCACUCCGUCGGCCUCCUCCUCACCGGAGAACGGGCACCCCAUGAACUCCGCCAGCUUCUUCACGUUGCUCACGGGGUCCCGAAGCAUCUGCUCGUACGGGAAGAAGAGCACCCUGAAGCACGAGACAGGGUUGAUCAAGGAGUAUCAGAUGCUUAA